GAUGAAGAACGCAGCGAAAUGCGAUAAGUAGUGUGAAUUGCAGAAUUCAGUGAAUCAUCGAAUCUUUGAACGCACAUUGCGCCCUUUGGUAUUCCUUAGGGCAUGCCUGUUCGAGCGUCAUUUAAACCUUCAAGCCCUGCUUGGUGUUGGGUGCCUGUCCCGCCUCCGCGCGUGGACUCACCUCAAAUCCAUUGGCGGCCCCCGCACGGCCACGAGCGCAGCAGAAACGCAAACUCGUGCCCGGACCGGGCGGCUCCCAGAAGCUACACUCACCAUUUUGACCUCGGAUCAGGUAGGGAUACCCGCUGAACUUAAGCAUAUCAAUAAGCGGAGGA
RNAcentral lists this unclassified non-coding RNA (335 nucleotides) under soil metagenome. Its description in RNAcentral is "partial contains 5.8S ribosomal RNA, internal transcribed spacer 2, and large subunit ribosomal RNA". The stretch from base 1 to 120 matches the Rfam family "5.8S ribosomal RNA", at positions 35 to 154 of the family's 154-position model. The record is from RNAcentral.